Molecule: ribosomal RNA, 416 nt
Filed under: uncultured bacterium
Lineage: Bacteria
Description: bacterial SSU rRNA
Rfam family: Bacterial small subunit ribosomal RNA
Source: RNAcentral
UAUUGGACAAUGGGCGGAAGCCUGAUCCAGCCAUGCCGCGUGUGUGAAGAAGGCCUUUUGGUUGUAAAGCACUUUAAGCGAGGAGGAGGAGCUCUUGGUUAAUACCCAAGAUGCUUGGACGUUACUCGCAGAAUAAGCACCGGCUAACUCUGUGCCAGCAGCCGCGGUAAUACAGAGGGUGCAAGCGUUAAUCGGAUUUACUGGGCGUAAAGCGCGCGUAGGUGGCCAAUUAAGUCAAAUGUGAAAUCCCCGAGCUUAACUUGGGAAUUGCAUUCGAUACUGGUUGGCUAGAGUAUGGGAGAGGAUGGUAGAAUUCCAGGUGUAGCGGUGAAAUGCGUAGAGAUCUGGAGGAAUACCGAUGGCGAAGGCAGCCAUCUGGCCUAAUACUGACACUGAGGUGCGAAAGCAUGGGGAGC